This 445-nucleotide ribosomal RNA is filed under the name uncultured bacterium. RNAcentral's name for it is "partial 16S ribosomal RNA". It matches the Rfam family "Bacterial small subunit ribosomal RNA", at positions 354 to 796 of the family's 1533-position model. The record is from RNAcentral.
GUGAGGAAUAUUGCGCAAUGGAGGCAACUCUGACGCAGCCAUGCCGCGUGCAGGAAGAAGGCGCUACGCAUUGUAAACUGCUUUUAACCGGGAAGAAACCCCAGGACGUGUCCUGGGUUGACGGUACCGGAGGAAUAAGCACCGGCUAACUUCGUGCCAGCAGCCGCGGUAAUACGAAGGGUGCAAGCGUUAUCCGGAUUCAUUGGGUUUAAAGGGUGCGUAGGCGGAGCGUUAAGUCAGUGGUGAAAUCCUGCAGCUUAACUGUAGACUUGCCAUUGAUACUGGCGCUCUUGAGUGCACUUGAAGUGGGCGGAAUGUGCCGUGUAGCGGUGAAAUGCUUAGAUAUGGCACAGAACACCAAUUGCGAAGGCAGCUCACUAAGGCGAUACUGACGCUGAGGCACGAAAGCGUGGGGAUCGAACAGGAUUAGAAACCCCUGUAGUCC